GGCCAAACUUCAGCUGACCUUUGGACUUGUUAAGCAAGUGCCUGGCAGCCUAGGCGCGGGGGCUUUUCCGCCGCCGCCGCAACGUUGGCUUUAGUCCCGAAAGAAGAAACCGCGCUGCAGGGGUUCAGGACGCGCGCGGCUCCCUGGCUGAGGGUGCUCUGCAGACAGGGUCGCUGCGGCGGUGGCGUGAGUCUCCGGAGUUUCACACGCCAAGGAGAGAAGGCGCCGACAAAGCCAUUGAGGGGAAGAUUUUUUUUUCCCCACUCCCGCCUGGAAGGAACGAGCAAUGGGCCUUUCAGCAUUUUCAUUUCGGCCGCAUCUCCCCUGGGCUCCGAGGGGAAGGAAGGAGGCACCAAGUUCGCCCGGAACUGCAGGCUGGCAUCUGACUUGCUGACGAGGAGGGACGGUGGGGUCCCGCACUCACAGCCUCCUCGCUCCUGGAGCAGAAGACACCCUGCUCUCUGCUCUGACCUGUUUCCUUAUCUGAGACAUGAGGGAUACUACCGAUACCCACAGUGAAAGGGCUGUGUACCUGGAGACCGCUUGUGCCAAUCCUUGGUCCAACAGUUUACAUUUUCCAGUUUAGGAAAGCUGGGGACCAGUGGCAGUGAAAUCUUGCCUCCCGGAAGGCUUCGGGUUCUCAGAAUUAGAGAGAUUGAGCACUGGGGUUGGAGGGACUGGUGGACUGGGAACAAAAACAUCAAAACUAGCAAGAACAUUGCCAAGGAGCUGUCUCUAAGCACAUUUUCUCUCUCUCUCUCACCUGCAAAGAGAGGACGAGUUGGGAUUAGUUAGGGAUAGAGAGGAAUCUCAGCUGUAAGAGAGGCCAGAAGCUCUGAUCUGUUAGGUACUACAGCAGCCUGGGAGGGUGAGGGCUGAUGGUGCGGACCCUUCCAAGUCAGGCCGCAAGGAGCUGGGCUGCCUCUUCUAAGUGCAGGACCAGCAACCGUGCUGAGAUGCAGAAAGAAGCAGGUGAAAAAGCUUUGCAUCCAUGUCAGUCCCUGUUUUCCUGAGAAAGGGAUAACGAGAUCACAAAAGUCAGGCCCUUCGUCCCACCUUCUUGUCUUCUAGUUUGCUGUGAUGUAUGACCGAUCCCUGCCCUUUGUAACUGCACCCAGAGAAAGAGCCUUCUCCGCCUACCCAGAGCCCUUCAAACAAGAUCAUGAAGGGUUGCAAGUAAAUGUCUAGAAAACCGUC
This is a long non-coding RNA of Tupaia belangeri chinensis (Chinese tree shrew), 1197 nucleotides long. RefSeq lists it as uncharacterized. NCBI's taxonomy places the organism in Eukaryota, Metazoa, Chordata, Mammalia, Scandentia, Tupaiidae. The record is from RefSeq and is a predicted model, not a curated record. The transcript is spliced from 2 exons.